UACGUAGGGACCAAGCGUUGUCCGGAAUAAUUGGGCGUAAAGAGCGUGUAGGCGGCUUGUUAAGUCUUGCGUGAAAUCUCGGGGCUCAACCCCGAGCGGUCGUGAGAAACUGGCAGGCUAGAGUGCGGGAGAGGAGAGUGGAAUUCCUGGUGUAGCGGUGAAAUGCGCAGAUAUCAGGAAGAACACCCGUGGCGAAGGCGGCUCUCUGGACCGCAACUGACGCUGAGACGCGAAAGCGUGGGGAGCAAACAGG
RNAcentral lists this ribosomal RNA (253 nucleotides) under uncultured bacterium. RNAcentral describes it as "partial 16S ribosomal RNA". It matches the Rfam family "Bacterial small subunit ribosomal RNA", at positions 524 to 776 of the family's 1533-position model. The record is from RNAcentral.